Molecule: ribosomal RNA, 562 nt
Filed under: uncultured bacterium
Lineage: Bacteria
Description: bacterial SSU rRNA
Rfam family: Bacterial small subunit ribosomal RNA
Source: RNAcentral
CCUACGGGAGGCAGCAGUGGGGAAUAUUGGACAAUGGGCGAAAGCCUGAUCCAGCAAUGCCGCGUGAGUGAAGAAGGCCUUCGGGUUGUAAAGCUCUUUUACCCGGGAAGAUAAUGACCGUACCGGGAGAAUAAGCCCCGGCUAACUCCGUGCCAGCAGCCGCGGUAAUACGGAGGGGGCUAGCGUUGUUCGGAAUCACUGGGCGUAAAGCGUGCGUAGGCGGCCAUUCAAGUCAGAGGUGAAAGCCCAGGGCUCAACCCUGGAACUGCCUUUGAAACUAGGUGGCUGGAACACGGGAGAGGUGAGUGGAAUUCCGAGUGUAGAGGUGAAAUUCGUAGAUAUUCGGAAGAACACCAGUGGCGAAGGCGGCUCACUGGACCGUUGUUGACGCUGAGGCACGAAAGCGUGGGGAGCAAACAGGAUUAGAUACCCUGGUAGUCCACGCCGUAAACGAUGAUAACUAGCUGUUGGGGCUCUUUGAGCUCCAGUGGCGCAGCUAACGCAUUAAGUUAUCCGCCUGGGGAGUACGGCCGCAAGGUUAAAACUCAAAAGGAAUUGACGG